GGCCUCCUGAUGCUUACCACAAGCUGUGUUCUUAUACUGACUGCAUAGAAAGAGGAGGCAGAGUAAGCCUACCCCACGUACAACUCAGCCCAGGACCUGUGUCUGGUUGUGUUGUGAAAUGGGGAGACAUGG
This 132-nucleotide small nucleolar RNA is filed under the name Sciurus vulgaris (Eurasian red squirrel). RNAcentral describes it as "Small nucleolar RNA SNORA51 (ENSSVLG00005012685.1)". It matches the Rfam family "Small nucleolar RNA SNORA51". Rfam says of the family: ACA51 is a member of the H/ACA class of snoRNA that guide the sites of modification of uridines to pseudouridines. Lineage: Eukaryota; Metazoa; Chordata; Mammalia; Rodentia; Sciuridae. The record is from Rfam by way of RNAcentral.